AGCGAAACGGGAAGAGCCCAAACCAACAAGCUUGCUUGUUGGGGUUGUAGGACACUCUAUACGGAGUUACAAAGGACGACAUUAGACGAAUCAUCUGGAAAGAUGAAUCAAAGAAGGUAAUAAUCCUGUAGUCGAAAAUGUUGUCUCUCUUGAGUGGAUCCUGAGUACGACGGAGCACGUGAAAUUCCGUCGGAAUCUGGGAGGACCAUCUCCUAAGGCUAAAUACUCUCUAGUGACCGAUAGUGAACCAGUACCGUGAGGGAAAGGUGAAAAGCACCCCGGAAGGGGAGUGAAAUAGAACCUGAAACCGUGUGCUUACAAGUAGUCAGAGCCCGUUAAUGGGUGAUGGCGUGCCUUUUGUAGAAUGAACCGGCGAGUUACGAUUUGAUGCAAGGUUAAGCAGUAAAUGUGGAGCCGUAGCGAAAGCGAGUCUGAAUAGGGCGUUUAGUAUUUGGUCGUAGACCCGAAACCAGGUGAUCUACCCUUGGUCAGGUUGAAGUUCAGGUAACACUGAAUGGAGGACCGAACCGACUUACGUUGAAAAGUGAGCGGAUGAACUGAGGGUAGCGGAGAAAUUCCAAUCGAACCUGGAGAUAGCUGGUUCUCUCCGAAAUAGCUUUAGGGCUAGCCUCAAGUGAUGAUUAUUGGAGGUAGAGCACUGUUUGGACGAGGGGCCCCUCUCGGGUUACCGAAUUCAGACAAACUCCGAAUGCCAAUUAAUUUAACUUGGGAGUCAGAACAUGGGUGAUAAGGUCCGUGUUCGAAAGGGAAACAGCCCAGACCACCAGCUAAGGUCCCAAAAUAUAUGUUAAGUGGAAAAGGAUGUGGCGUUGCCCAGACAACUAGGAUGUUGGCUUAGAAGCAGCCAUCAUUUAAAGAGUGCGUAAUAGCUCACUAGUCGAGUGACACUGCGCCGAAAAUGUACCGGGGCUAAACAUAUUACCGAAGCUGUGGAUUGUCCUUUGGACAAUGGUAGGAGAGCGUUCUAAGGGCGUUGAAGCAUGAUCGUAAGGACAUGUGGAGCGCUUAGAAGUGAGAAUGCCGGUGUGAGUAGCGAAAGACGGGUGAGAAUCCCGUCCACC
Molecule: ribosomal RNA, 1082 nt
Filed under: Staphylococcus aureus
Lineage: Bacteria; Bacillati; Bacillota; Bacilli; Caryophanales; Staphylococcaceae
Description: partial 23S ribosomal RNA
Rfam family: Bacterial large subunit ribosomal RNA
Source: RNAcentral